Molecule: long non-coding RNA, 1343 nt
Filed under: Lactuca sativa (garden lettuce)
Lineage: Eukaryota; Viridiplantae; Streptophyta; Magnoliopsida; Asterales; Asteraceae
Description: long non-coding RNA (LSAT_LNC007545)
Source: RNAcentral
UUUCCAAAAAAAAAAUAGAGUUAUACUCUCCAAAAUCCCUAAAAAAUUUAUAGAUACACAAAUUUGAUAGCCAUUGCUUAUUACACAUGCAAAGCUACACACAAACCAAAACCAAAGCUACGUACAAAGUAAGCAAUUUUGUUAGACAAUACUACAUACAAACACAAAGGAAACGUGUUUCCUUCCUCAAAAUCAAGCUGUCAAUCGAACCAUCCAAAACCCCCCUGAGAAUUGGUUUUGCUGCUGCCUGAUUCCUCCAUCGAUUGCUGCCAGAAACUACUCAUCGGAGGUGUUGUUUCCUCCCAAUGAGCAAGGAGGCAGUAGCCUCGUGAUUUUUGCUUUCACCUGUUCCCGUCGAUCACCACAGAGGCAACCCUUCUCACCUUUGGUGGUUGUCUUUCCCCCUAUCAAACAUCAAAACCCAAACAUCCAUUUUGUUCCUCCUUUGAUUUCUGUCAAAACAAACAAAAAGGAAAAAACAAAGGAAAAGAAAACGGAAGCAACACCCCAUCCACUCACCUGAUUUCGUGUUUCCUUCUUCUCAGAUCAACAGGAGACCGAAGUCCUUCCCCCUUUCCUCGUUUCUGUUGCUGUUUUCAAUCAAUUGUCUUCUGAAUCAGUCGAAACGGAUGCUCUAUUGUGAGAUUCCUGUACGUGUUCCCUUCAUAUUCUCGAUCUGAUGUGGAUGAAGAACCCCAAUCGAACCUUGCCCUCAUUUUUUUCUCCUAUUUUGAACCAAUACCGGAGGUGUGUAUCGUUUAUUCGAGUUCCCUUCGCCUGCAGUCUCUCGUUCCUCCCUCUCGAGGUCAAGAUCAGUCGAUCGUCUAAUUCUCCAGGGCUUCAACACUGAUAACGGGUUUUGAUUUUGACCAAGUCAAAAGUCAAAGAGAAUUCAAACAUGAAUUUAAAUUAAUCAAAAUCGACCCUCAUUUAACAAUACGUUAGAAAAUCAGUCCCAACCCAAAACCUUGACUCCAUUUAUUCAAAAUAGCCCCUCCCAUACAGAUUUCUUAACAAUACCAAUCCAAGACUCAAAACCAAAUAGGUCAUACUUUGGUUAAUCAAACUACCAAACAACCCCCACUAGUUUAAAUUCGUUACGAAACGGUCCCGAGAGUAUUUUAAAGUUCAAGAAUCGUUGCAGAAAACCUGUAACCCUCACAAACCUUGUGCUGGCCCUCAAAACUACAUGUGAUCUCAGAAAUCACUAAAUAAACAUUCAAGACAGAUUGGAUUAUAGGUGACCUAGUCUAUUUGCUGUUGUAUUAUAUGUUUAUCUGUUAAGGCAAUUCAUGUAUUAUUAUUAUUUGUAAAAAAAUUGUAUUCAAAUAUCAUGAUGGAAC